Molecule: ribosomal RNA, 501 nt
Filed under: uncultured bacterium
Lineage: Bacteria
Description: bacterial SSU rRNA
Rfam family: Bacterial small subunit ribosomal RNA
Source: RNAcentral
GAUCCUGGCUCAGGAUGAACGCUAGCUACAGGCUUAACACAUGCAAGUCGCGGGGCAGCAUUUCCUUAGCUUGCUAAAGGAGAUGGCGACCGGCGCACGGGUGAGUAACGCGUAUCCAACCUUCCCUUGUCCACGGGAUAGCCCGUCGAAAGGCGGACUAACACGAUAUGCAGUUCUCAGCAGGCAUCUAACGAGAACGAAAUGUGAAGGAGAAGGAUGGGGAUGCGUCUGAUUAGCUUGUUGGCGGGGUAACGGCCCACCAAGGCGACGAUCAGUAGGGGUUCUGAGAGGAAGGUCCCCCACAUUGGAACUGAGACACGGUCCAAACUCCUACGGGAGGCAGCAGUGAGGAAUAUUGGUCAAUGGGCGAGAGCCUGAACCAGCCAAGUAGCGUGCAGGACGACGGCCCUAUGGGUUGUAAACUGCUUUUAUAAGGGAAUAAAGUGAGUCUCGUGAGACUUUUUGCAUGUACCUUAUGAAUAAGGACCGGCUAAUUCCGUG